Long non-coding RNA from Lutra lutra (Eurasian river otter), 7023 nucleotides. RefSeq lists it as uncharacterized. Lineage: Eukaryota; Metazoa; Chordata; Mammalia; Carnivora; Mustelidae. The record is from RefSeq and is a predicted model, not a curated record. The transcript is spliced from 3 exons.
GGCGGCCACCUUGGCGCGUGGUACCCCCUGCUUGGGGCUUGUGCUCCCCAAGAAUUACCCCAGGGGGCUUCACCACCGGGUGCUCAGCACGCAGAGCUCAGAAAGGGCGUGCCAAGGAGACGCGGACCAUGCGUGUCCUUCCUUAGCCCCUUCCCUGUCCCAGGCCCCCACCGAGAAGGUGUGGAUUCAGGGCGAGGGAGGGCCGCCUCCCUGAAAUGUCGUGGGUCACAUGUUUCUUGCCAGCAUCGAUUGUGUUAGCGACACGUUCUCACCCCAGCCUCCCCGGCCUCCCAAUGCUGGGCUUGGGAAGCGUCACAGAGUGACAACUCGACACAGGACGGACGCAGUUGUCUGGGCAGCUGGGGGGCGUGGCACAGGUCCCAGGCAGGAGAGCAGCCCCACGUGACCUGCCAUCACGCCGGAGUCCCGGGUGCACUCGCGUUUGCGCUCGGCCGUCCCGCAGAACAUCUGCUUUGGGGCAGUGUUCCUCGAGGCACCCGAGAGGCCGAGGGGGAGGGAGGAGGCCCCCACGAGGCUUCCUGACCUUGCUGGGCAUGGCUAUGCAGGCUGGGGGUUCGCUGCACCUCAGGGGCUGGGCCGAGCAUCGUGUCGAGUCUGUGAGGUUCAGGGGAGGAAGCGGCGGGCACAGGGCAGUCAGGAAGGCUUCACAGAAGGGGUGACAUUAGAGGGGUUUCUGCAGGCUAGGCAACGUCCUAGAGGUCUGGGGUGUUAGAGGAUGGUUUGCACAAACGUCCCCCGGGAAGAGGCCACUCCGAUGUGCCUGCCUCAGUCUCCUUGUUCGUGCCUGGGUCCUGUGCUCUGUAGUGUCAGAUCGUCCUAGACCAUCUCCCGGGAUUCUGGAAAGGUCCUCAGUCUGCGGCUGGUGGUUUCCAGGAGUUGAGGCACGUUCCUUUGUGUACACUUCAGAAAAUCUGGGGCUGGUGGACCUGCGUCCCCAAGUUGCUGGGACAAAAUAAGCACGUCCCGUGUCACUUCGGAGGACGGGACCAGACACUGAAAACCGAGUGCCUGGGGCCUCUGGAGCACAGCAGCCCAUCACGGAGUUCAGGUGUUUGCCUUCGUCCAAUGGGAUGUGAAAAGGAGGGGUGACUGGAGCCUCCCUCUCUCACUCCCCCCAACCAGUGCCUGCUGGUGGAAAGACAGAGUAACAGAGCCCCAGAGGCAGUGGUGUUUGCCCUGCACACCAGCCCUGCUGGCUCCUAUAUUCCUCCUGCCUCUGACUGGUGCUCUCGCUCCCCUGGGGAGAGGUGAGCUGAGUCCCCGUGAGCCCAGCCAGGAAGUGGUAGGGCCGACUGCCCAGUGGUGUUGAGGGCAAAGCCCUGUUCCCAGCCCUGCUGUCAGGGAAGGUCGGGGGACAGCAGAAGGCCAUGGCUCUCCUGUCCUGGUGUCUGUGGUCAUGAUGCUGAAGCUCAGGGAGCUGGAGAGGUUCUGCAAACUCUGAGAUGCUCGCUCCCGGGCCUCAGGGCCUUUGCUUCACGCCCGGAGCUCAGUGCAGAGCCAGGAGGCCUGGCUGUGGAUGAGUCCACCACAGCCCCCUGGAGGCAGAGGCAGUGUGUUUGGCAGGCCCGGCAGGAAGGCAUCAUCCUUUUGAGUCGUCUCACUGUGGGUCCAGAUAGGAGCAGGAAGCCUUGAAAUGGGGGGUUUGCGCCCCUGCCUCCCUGGUGCCAGCAAGACACGCCUGCCACUCUGUGGUGCCACCACUGGGCGGGCCCAGGUCGUUCACCACAGCGGAGGGCUCUGCCACCCUGUCUCAGAGGUGACAACUGCCCGCCCAGGUCAGCCUUAGGAUGCGGGGUGCGGGCACGUAACGGAAGCCCUGUGCUGGGAUGUGCUCCGUCUGAUGGGGUGGUGCUGACCCUCAAAAUAUUUGUGUUCUCUGAAAACAAUGACCAAAACAAGCCAGAGAUGUUUUGGGGUUUCUCUUCUUUCAGCUCUGCCUCCUUCAGGAGGUCGGCGUCCCCGUUUUCUGUGUUGGCUUAAUAACUUAUACAGCAACUAUGUACGUGUGCAGACACAUCUGUCUCCUGGAUGUGGCGAUUGGAAGUUUGGGGAGACUGUCCCUAUAGGCGGAUCCGAUUAGAGAGGAAGAGUACUAAGGAUCUCUCUCUCUCAUCUGGCAGUGACAUCUGGCGUGGGUGCAUAGCAGACUUUUGCUAUUGCAAACCUGGAUCCAAGCAGAUGGAAAGACCAAAGACCGAAUUGGCUAAUAAUUCUAUUAUGCAUUUUAGUAAUAUUUUCUCAAUAUUUAGACUUUAUACAAAAAUUUGAGCCUUAUUUGACACUCAUCUACAGUAAUAAAAAUAGUCCGUAUGUAGCAUGAGAGGCUGCCUAGACCCGUUGGUGGGAAUCGUGGCUCUUGCAGCAGAUGGGGACAUGCCUGUCUCCGCUGUGUCCGCCGUGACCGGACGAGCAGCCAGGGGAGGCCAGGAACUCCAGCCCCACUGUUCAGCCGUUGAGGAGCUGGACAUUCAUUUACCCUCGUGUGCUGGGUCCUGGCGAUGCCCCCAGUCCGAGGGAGGAGCAGACACGGAAAUGGGGACUUACAGCGCACCCCGGAAGGGCUGAGGCAGGAGCCUUCCCGAGUGAGGGCUGGCGCGUUCCGGAGGCUGAGAGCAGCAGCGACCUAUGUCAUUCCCCGUGACUGGUAACAGAGCAUGCAGACCAGAGGGCAGUGGGAUCCAGGGGCCUCCCUUCCCCCACCCCGCCUUCCUUCCUCUCAUCUCCCUCUUUCCCUCCCUGCCUCCAAAAUCUGUAUGAAACUCCCUCUCCUGUGUAACUCCUCCUUAUCGCCAGUCUGAGCCUGGUCAUUUUUAAAGGGACUUCUCCUCUUUGGCAAGAGGAACCGGCUGGAUAAUCGCGUUUUUCUGACCCCAAACUGGCAAAACUGACAGUGCUCCGGUUUGAGCACUAAGUGCGUUUUGGAAGUGAACUGACUCACUGGAGGUGACAGCCAGGACCCCAAAACUCGCGUCCUUUUCCUACUGCCUGCUUGAAGUGAGGUCCCGCGGCUCUUGUGUAAGCCUGGCACCCAACCCCGGAGGGUGUCUGCAAGGGGCACCCCCUUUCCCGCCAGCAGAACCAGAGCUGCUCCCAUGACCUGGCCUUGGAUGGGCUUGUCCCGCACAGGAGGCAGUGGGCCAGGCCUCAGCCGCGCCCCCACUUCCACCUCUGAUCAGACCUGUCGCCGGGGUUUGGGACUGUAGUUCUGAGAAAACCUCAGCGUAGCUGGUUCUGGGGUGGUUGGAGAUUGGCCAGAUCUGUUUCCACUUUCCAUGCAUAAUUCGGGAGAGGUGGGCCCACCAGGGUCUGACCAAGUCUUCCUCAUGCUUGACAGUCGAGCUCACGCGUCCUGUUUCCCGGGGCUCGCUCUGUUGUUGGCCUGUACCGCUCUCGUCUCGCCCGGCCGGAGCCGCCACUCCCCUCGGACUCCUACAACACUCAGUGCCUAGCUCUUUUUGUUACCGUCUUUACCGAGUACAGGAAGUUUCACUUUGUUCCCAGGUUUGCUGUGCCGUUCCUGGGUCUGUGCGGUAUCCUGUUCCUUUAGCAGCUACUUCCCGCUCACUGGCGCUGUGCUGGGCUUGUGCUAGGCACCGGGGACUUCUGCAAUGGGCAGAAUGGGAUAUGGUCCCUGCCCUGCUGGUGCGUGCUCCUUUCCUGGCCUCUGUGCUGCGUGUAGUCGCCAGCAUGUAGGUAUUAAAAUCAUUUGGUAAAAUAAAAAAGUUUAAAAAAGAAUAAAGCCAUUUGGUGAAUGCAUGGCUUGCUUCUCUUUGAUGGCGCAGACGGAAAGGUUCCCGGCUCAGCUGCACUAUGCCGAGGGCUGUGGUGGACAUGUGAAGGGAGUUUUAAUGAGCAAGAUUAGUCUUAUUGGAAGCCGGGCUCCGCUUCCAGAGGGCAGCUGUGCACAGACGAUCUGUGCUGGAAACAGACGGAGGAUGAGCACGGAGCAAGCUCGGUGUCAUGUCCCGCUCUCGUUUUCCUUGUUUCUGUUGCAAAUCUCCCUCCAAGAGCAUCUUAGGGGUUGGCAGGAUACUUGCUGACAUAUCAGAAUCCAUCCCUGUGUAGGUUUCAUGGCAAGAGCUGGGUGCACAGUUCAGCUGAUCCCCAUAAAAGCCAGCGACCCGGACCAUCUGGACAGCGUUUCUGCCAGGUGGUCUGAUAAGCAUUUGUCUCCUGGGUUCUGUCUGGAGACCCUUUGGAACCAUUUGGCUGCUUCGGGCGCCAGGUAGAGACUCAAGGAGCCCAGCCGUAGCCUGGGUUUUAGAUGCCAGAGGACUGCCGGCCCAGAGGGGGAGCUGGAAUAUCUUUGUAGCACGCAGAGGUCACUUACAUGCAGGUAGCCGGCACGUGGAGGGACACGGAGCAGGACAGCUGCUCCGAGCACGGGGCCAUGCGUCUGGACCAGGCUGUGCAUUACCGAGGAGUGUCUGGCCUUGCCAACACCAGUCGACCUAGUGAACCUGGGAGGCUUCACGGGCUCUGACAUUUGUGUCGGGUUUUGCUGGAGUUUCUCAAGCAUAUGCCUGCAAGACCGUCAGCCCAGUGUCCUCAGUUUGGUUGGUCCUGACAGGACAGUCGGCCUGGGACACGGCCACGCCUGGCUUCUCAGUUUUCCAGACCACAUUCUUCGCAGUAAGGAGAAUGUGCCUCCAGCCGACCCCACCUCCCCUUUAAGGCAGGGCCGGAGAUUAAAGUGUGGGCAGGGGCCUGCCCCAGGUCACCCUUGACCCUUCCUAGCUGGCUUGUCGUUUAUUUUCUGAGAUGCCUAAUGGAGCCAUGGCUUCCCAUCCCCUGAGAAAACAAACCAAUGAGUUUCUUGCAAUGAGAUCCCUCUAAAACACAGUGCAGUGGGCUUUUCCAGUAGCCAUGUCAGGAGAAAGGGUUUAAUCUAAAUGAAUUUCAUGCAAACACCUCCUGUCGUCAGUACGGCAGAUUUCUGGAUCACCUUAAGCAAAAUUCAGGGUUCGUUUUGUGUCUGCCUCGAGGGAGUUCAGUUUCUCCAGCUGCUGCCAGUCCCUCGACUCCGAGGCCUCUGAGCUCCCGGUGGAGCAGUGCUCCCGGCCAGAGAGGAGCACAGUGCCUGACCUCUGACCUCUGAUCCCGUACCGUUGACCCGGCUCCUGGGCCCGUGGACCUAGACUUGAGGGCUGUCUCCCCCAAAUCCAGACAUGGUGGCCAAGCACACCUUAGAAUCCCUCUGAGAGGAGUCAGGGUUUGGCACACAGCAUCGAUUUCAGAGUUGGCGUGGGGAGUCGGGAAGGGCUUCCCGAGCCGGCGGAGAUAUUAACGUGAGUGUGUGGUCUGCGUGUGUGUGCACACGUGAGUGCAGUGCGUGUGCACGCGUGUGUGGUAUAGUGUGCGUGUAAACAUCACACAGAUCGAUAUGCACCGUGUGUCAUUAGGUGCAUGUCCCAUUGGAACACCUUCUGUGUCCUUUCGGUUUGACAGUUACUGUGUGCGUGUGUCUAACAGACUCACGGAGCGACCGCUCACGCCUGUCGGGCACGUGCUAAGGGCUGUACUGUUCUGAGUGAUUUAUUUGGAUGGGCUCGCUUAAUUUUCACAGAGAGCCCUAGGACGUGGUUUUAGGCACAUUCCACAGAUGGGGAAACCGAGACCCCGUGAGAUUCUCCCGCUCUCGUCCCAGGUCACCAGCCAGUGAGGCGUGGAGCUGGGAUUUGCGCCCAGCUGCCUGGCUUCAGGUUGUGGCUCUUGGCUCCGUGCUGGGCAUCCGGUCUCUGCCAAGGCCUCUGUGUAGCCCCGUUUUGCAGAGAAAGCCAAAUGAGGUUGCAGCGUCCCUCGGAUACCCUGCUGGUCAGUGCUGCCCCCGCCCUGGGUUCUCCCCACGUUGCCGGCCCUACCCUCAGCCCGGCAGGGCGGGCGGGGCUGAACUAUUGCACACUGUCCCUGGGGAGCUCACUGGGCCAUGUGGCAUUUCCCGUCCAGUUGGGUCUCUGACCGCAGGGAGCUGAGCCGAGGUAUAGGCCACCCCUGCUGGGGGGAGAACAACUCACAUCAGCAUCCCCAAAGUUCGCAGUGCAGGUUGGAAAACAGUCAUGGGAAAGAGGCUCAUUAAUCAUGUAAAGCAGCCUUUCCAUUAGUGUAAUUUCUAUUUAUGGCAAUCUGCUAAUUUAUUUGAGCUGAAGUGGGGCUGGGCUAAGUCCCUGCACCUGUCGUUUCUUCAGGUCUGGCACGUGGGUGCAGACAGUCCAUCUUCCUCGGAGACGCCUGAGGUGCAGGCUGCCCCCUCCGGCUCCCGCACCUGGAAGCCGGCUUGGAAGUGACUGUCGGCUGCUCCCUGGUGAUGGGCUUCCAGAUUUGCUCUGUAGGCUGCGGAAGACGAGUUCAUGAUAAGCUUCAGUUCUAUGAAUAAAGACAAGGUCUCAGAAACUGCUCAGUGUUUUCAAAUCGCAGUACGGCACCAGAUACAUCAGUGCUAACGGUCUAGCUGAAGAUGAGCGGGAAGGUGCGUUAUUGGCUUUCUGCAUUUUCCUUGCAUCUAACUGUUUUUCAGAGAUCUGGAAUUAAGCAUCCAUGGUUCUCAAGACACGUGGAAGAUUAACUGUGUAUCAUGAGAAUGCUGUAAAUCAAAAGGCUGUGUACAAAUACUAAGUUUCCUUAACAACGAUGAAUGACCCGCAAUCAUAUGUAAGGCUCACAUAACAGACUGGGCUCCUGAAGAGUAGGAAGGCUCUCAUCUAGGCCUUUCAUGCCUAGCCCCUACCUCAGUGCACAGAGUGGGUGUUGACAGAUACUUGCUGUGAGUCACUGGAACGGGGAGGUGCAUGGGGACAGAGGCAGGCCGCAGGGACAGCAUAGACACACUACAGGGUGCAGCCGUCACAGCCAGGGAAGAAGGAAGGGGUGACUUCUGGGCUGGUGCUGGGUCAGAGGGGACAUCCCCAUUAAGGUGAGGUUGAGGCUCCAGUCAACAGAAUGGCUGAGAAGGUUCCGGGUUGGGGAGAACACAGGAGUAAGGGCACCAGGGCAGGACAUCACCCA